GAGGGCCUCAGCAGGGCUUGCUUUGAGGUACUUCCUUCCUGUCAGCCCGGUUCUUGGAGUCUG
RNAcentral lists this microRNA precursor (63 nucleotides) under Choloepus hoffmanni (Hoffmann's two-fingered sloth). RNAcentral's name for it is "miRNA (ENSCHOG00000015324.1)". The record is from RNAcentral. Lineage: Eukaryota; Metazoa; Chordata; Mammalia; Pilosa; Megalonychidae.